This 429-nucleotide ribosomal RNA is filed under the name uncultured bacterium. RNAcentral describes it as "bacterial SSU rRNA". It matches the Rfam family "Bacterial small subunit ribosomal RNA", at positions 355 to 776 of the family's 1533-position model. The record is from RNAcentral.
UGGGGAAUUUUGCGCAAUGGGCGAAAGCCUGACGCAGCAACGCCGCGUGGGUGAUGAAGGUCUUCGGAUUGUAAAACCCUGUCGUCGGGGACGAAGGUAGGGGGGUUAACAGCCCUUUUGCUUGACGGUACCCGGAGAGGAAGCCCCGGCUAACUCUGUGCCAGCAGCCGCGGUAAUACAGAGGGGGCAAGCGUUAUUCGGAAUUAUUGGGCGUAAAGGGCGCGUAGGCGGUGCCAUAAGUGAGAUGUGUAAUCCCCGGGCUCAACCUGGGAACUGCAUCUCAGACUGUGGUGCUGGAGUGCUGGAGAGGGUGGUGGAAUUCCUCGUGUAGCGGUGAAAUGCGUAGAGAUGAGGAGGAACACCAGUGGCGAAGGCGGCCACCUGGACAGUAACUGACGCUGAGGCGCGAAAGUGUGGGUAGCAAACAGG